UGAAACCGAGUGUGCCACCAGCUAACUGGAGCUCCCCUAGCCUGCCUAGAAAAGCUGUAGUCACCGCGAUCUUCACAAACCAGGUUAAGUUCAUGGCCACCAAUGGAAGUGCUAGUCCUCUCUGUAUUUUCAGCUCUGAAAGCAUUAUCUGUAUUAGGUUGGCCGGCCAUUUCUUGGUGGGAUAUGAAACUGAAGGUGACUGAGAUGGUUUGUCAGUUGGGAUCUCUUCCACUCUUGAUGUUGCAGUUGCAGGCAUUAUGGAAGUAAAUUGGCGGGGUUGCUCCAAAAUCCGAAUAUAUAAGAUGGGAAAUCUGGUUUCUUAAAUAAGAAUGAAUUGAAGGCUUAGUGUUUGCUAGUGCACGAGUUUUUUGUGAGGAUAUCAGUUUCUGAAGGAGCAAAUAAGGUUAUUUGUUGCAAGUUCGUAACAGCCAAUUAAUGAAAAGAGAGUUGGGCUGUUGAUUUAUAGUGCGUGAUGAUAAGGCAAAGUUGCAAAGGACAAAUCACCUUCAUAUCUCGUGAGAUAUUCGUUUCAGUGGUUUUUUUCUUUCCUUAGAAUAUUUACUAUUGCUGCUUUGGAAUAGUUUUACUAUCUAACUAACCUUUCUAUUUAGCACUUGAUUCAUUGCUUAAAUAGUAACUAAGAUUGUCCUGUAAGGUAACCAACCAGACGCUUUGCAUGCUUUCUUUUGUUCAUAUAGGGCGAAUAUAGCAUUGAAACAAGGGUAGUUGAAAAAUCAUCUCCAUGUGAGAAGUUUUAAGAGGAAACUAAAUAAAGAACAUUAUCAGAUAAUAUUCAAGAGAAAAACAACAUGUUUUCAUCUGGUUUUCAUUUACCCUUUGCAUUGCAUUGCAAUUCUAAGGGGUAAAAUGAUUGGAGGAUUAAUACAAUGAAGGUGGGAGAUUUGGUGGAAAAGGCGUAAGCAAUAAUGCGGUGGUCCUUUAUCUGUUAGCUGCUUUGCGUUUUGAGGAUGAAUGGGGUUUCACUAAAAAUUCUAAGCUAUAAGGAAUCAAAAGUGGGGUAGCUAGGCCACUCCAUAUCUAAGCUUUUUGCUUUCAUUUUCUAAAGUAAAUAAUAGUUUAUUUAAUAUUCUUAUCACUUCAUAUUUCUUCAGUUUACAAGUAAAUAAUAGUUUAUUUGAUAUUCUUAUCACUUCAUAUUUCUUCAGUUUACAUUCAACUGAGUUUACUUCUCUACAUUUGUAUCGUGCAAUUAGGCAGGAGAAUAUGAGGUUGAAUAAAUCAGUUACAUGUAUUCUUACAGAUAAGUGCAGAGACAUGGCUACUUAAUCUGUGGAAAAGAGGAAUUAGAGUAUAUGUCGAAUGGAAUCACAUGUAGAAGGAAUGUAAGGAGUGCUACUUUAACGGAAGCAUUGUAGAAAAUAAUGGCUUUUUCACCGAGGUUUGAUUCCGUUCGGUUUUCUCAAUUUUUUUCUCAGCCAUAUUGUUCACUAACAGAUUAUAUGUUAUUGCCUUAAUUUAGUAGCCUGAGAGGGAAGAAAACAUUGGACCUUUCGAGAUAAACAGGAUCCCAAUUACCAUAUCUUAUCAUAGUGGAAGUAAAAGGGGCUAAGAAUACAACUUUGUAAGAUAUGCUAUCAGUGGGAUUUCAAAGAACUAUGCACCACUUCCCAAUAUUAGAAAAACGGGUACUUUUUCCUAAAAAGGAAGAGGCACCUGGUUUUCUUUCUGUUGGUUUUUCUUUGUAAGGAAGAAAAGAAAGACAAACCAAAGUUUGUGACUUAUUACAUUUUUCAGUUUCAG
Molecule: long non-coding RNA, 1761 nt
Filed under: Gossypium barbadense (sea-island cotton)
Lineage: Eukaryota; Viridiplantae; Streptophyta; Magnoliopsida; Malvales; Malvaceae
Description: long non-coding RNA (GBAR_LNC015168)
Source: RNAcentral